GAAGUGGGACUGGUGAUAUUGAUCUGACCCUCUGCAGUGUUCCGAGGGCUUGUUUACCCACUCCAAGUCUGUGAGUCCUAAUGAAGCAGGGCUAAGUCCGCUGAAGACCACCUUUGAGAGACUUUCAGAUCCUGGAGUGGCUGCUCCCUGAAGAGAGUCCUGGUCCUAGGAAUCUGGGAUUCUACCUGAAGUCCCAAAGAUGAACAAAUGGUAGAGAGGCACCUGACUGAGCCUGCUUCCUAACCGACUUCUCAGAACUGCCUGCCGCUGGACUGCCUAACAGAAGCUCAAGUUCUGGGAUUCCACCCUUGAAGAGAAAUGAAUCUGCACUUAACUUAGUGAGCCCUGUAGGUCAGGACAUGUAGUUCUUGCUACCCUGAAGCUCACUAUGUACGACAGACUGGCCCGAACACACUGAGAUCUGCCUGGUUCUGCCUCCCCAGUGCUGAGAUCAAAGGCACGCGUAUAGUUAGGGUAUAGGACUUUUACUUAUAUGUUAUGGC
Molecule: long non-coding RNA, 503 nt
Filed under: Mus spretus (western wild mouse)
Lineage: Eukaryota; Metazoa; Chordata; Mammalia; Rodentia; Muridae
Description: lncRNA (ENSMSPG00010045808.1)
Source: RNAcentral